CUAUAGCUCAACUAGGUAGAGCAACGGAUUCCAAAUCCGUAGGUUGGGGGUUCGAUUCCUCCUGG
RNAcentral lists this transfer RNA (65 nucleotides) under bovine gut metagenome. It matches the Rfam family "tRNA", at positions 5 to 66 of the family's 71-position model. From Rfam's summary of the family: Transfer RNA (tRNA) molecules are approximately 80 nucleotides in length. Their secondary structure includes four short double-helical elements and three loops (D, anti-codon, and T loops). The record is from RNAcentral.